This is a long non-coding RNA of Marmota monax (woodchuck), 2973 nucleotides long. RefSeq lists it as uncharacterized. The record is from RefSeq and is a predicted model, not a curated record. Lineage: Eukaryota; Metazoa; Chordata; Mammalia; Rodentia; Sciuridae. The transcript is spliced from 4 exons.
CCUUCCCUCCAGCCUGAGGUCCCUGGGAAGGGCAGAGACCCUGCUCCCUCUCCCCCAACCCACCCAGGCCAGAAGCAUCUCGGUCCUCCCAGACCCCAAGGGCCACUCCCCAGGCAGUGCCUCCUACUGGGGCUGCUCCUUGACAGCUGCUGUCCCCUCCCCAGAGCAGAGUGCAACAAGCCCAAACAGCCAGGCCCUGCCCCCCUCAGCUGAACCCUGUGCACAGACACUGCUCCGGCUGGGUGGCCGGUGUCCAGCUGGGAGGUCCUCAGGCUCCAACACCUCAGCCUGGACACGCAGCAGCCGCUCCAGGCCCUCUGCCGUCCUGACCAGGAGCACAGGAUCCCUUCCCAGACUGUUUUAUUGCAGUAAGAUGCACAUAGUACGCAGCCUGGUAGGGACGCACAUCUGUCAUCCCAGCACCCUGGAGACAAGGCCGGAGGGCGUGGGUCACAGACUAGCCUCAGCAUUUAGGAAAAUCCUGUCUUGAAAACCAGCCGACCAGCCACAGAGCCGACCCCUUCCCAGCUCAGCUGUCUCUUGAGCGACUUCAUUGUGCACUGUUGGGGAUCAGAGCCAGCUCUGGUGUCGCCAGGUCAGGCCGCUGCCACCCCCAGCCCUCACCCACCUUCCCACCACACGGUUUCAGCUCCAUGAUGAAAGUACAAAUGACUGGGCAGACGCAUCAGCAAGGUUCCCGUAUUCCGCGUGGAGUCAGUCGGGCACUGGAGGGCUCAUUUCUGGGUACAAAAAUGGCCCCAGGUUCCAGAAGGAGCCUGGGUUUUAUAGUUUACACUGAGGGUGAACUGAUCCUUCGAGACGGCGGACACGUGGAUGGGACACUGAGGGACCUACUUGUGCAGGUUAAAAUGUCAGGGGAAGGGAGCCGCUGAGACCCUGGGGUGAGGCCUCAAGUCCCGCCCAGCGCUCUCCUCUUCCUCUGGAAGUCCCCCCACUAGGCCUCCACACAGCACUGAUGGGCAAGGGGGGAGGUCGAGCUUGGGGCCCCCCUCCUCCAGGACCCACCAGGGCUGGGAAGGAGCCUGGGAGGGAGAAGGCCUGCUCUCCCCUGGGCCACGUUACUGGGGAGGACUUUCUCCUGGCAGAGGGUCAGGUUUGGCUGAUUUUCUUCCCCCUCCCAAGCCACGCUCUCUCCACAUUUCCCGCCAGGGUUGUCUGGUAGGAAUGUCUUCUCCGUAACCUUUCCUUUUCUUCCUCCCUGUCUUCCCACCUUCCUUCCUGUUCCAGACGGGUCUCUCUCUGUUGCCCAGGCUGGUCUCCAGACCCUGGGCUCAAGUGAUCCUCCUGUCUCAGCCUCCCUAGCUGGGACUACAGGUGUGCCACCAUGAUGAACUUCCUUUGUAGAGCUGAAGAGUAUUCCAUGAUGUGGAUGGCCUGUCCAUUCAUUGGUGGAUGGACACUUGGGCUGCUUCUGUGCCGGCUGUGGUAGACAGCAUUGCUGUGUGCAUGGAGUACAAGCACCCCCCCCAGGACCCUGAUUUCAGUUUUGGGGGUAUAUAUCUUCAAUCGGAGCUGCUGGGUCACGUGGGGAGCGGCCAGACUGUCCCCUACAGCAGUGGCCCUGCUUUCCUUUCUUCUCACCUUUUUUGAACUGGGGACUGACCCUGGGCUCUGCCUCCGAGCUGCCCUCAGUCCUUUUCAUCUCUCAUUCUCCAACCUCCUGCCUCGGCCCCGGGAGCCUCUGGGAUGACAGGUGUGUCCCUGUGCUGGGCUCAUUUAACAUUCUUACCAACUGUGCGCCAGGCCUCUGAGGUCCCCGAUUCUCCCCUGCAGCCUGGCGCAGUCAUCCCAGUGAGGGGGGGCACCUGCGGCUACAGCUGCUGAGUGUCCCCUCUCUAGCCGGCCACUGUGCCCCUUUGGAGAGGUGUCUCUCCAGGCCUGCGCCUGCUUUGUGAAUCAGGCUGCUUCUUGGCUGAGUCUCAGGGGUUCUCUCUUCCUGAUAGCAACCCCCUACCACACAGUGACCGGUAAACACUUCCAGAUUCUCUUUGGGUAGCCCUUGUACUUUUGAUGCCAUUCUUUGGUACACAAAGUCUGUGUGCGCGCGAAGCAGGCAAGGAGCCCAGGGCUGUGGGCACUGGCUAGGCACACCCUACUCGGGGUGCCCUGGCUCUGGCUUGGACCUUGGUCUUUCGCGUUUUAAUUCUGGUAUGUGGUAUCAGCCAAGGCCGUUCCGUCCUCUUCCCCCCCCCCCCCAAGGACUGUUUAGGCUACUUGGGCCCCUUGAGAUUCCCUACGAGAUUACAAAUAAAUUCUAAGAUUCUGAGAGAAAAAAGUCAUGGGGUUUUGACCAGGCUGGACCUGAAUCUGCGGAUCACCCGGGCCAGUGGUUGUCGGGCCUGAUAGAAGGGUCAAGGUUCAUUUUUGCCACUUGGAUGUCGGUUUCCCAGCACUUUCUAUGCCAAAGACUUUUUCUAUCACUGGGCAGAUUUAUUGGCAAUGAUCCAGCAGUGUGCACGCUGCUCUGCCCAGGAUCGUCCCUGGUUUCUGGGCACCAGCCACUCUCCCCAUUCCUGCCCCUCAGCACACCGAGAGCAGUGGAGGCCCCCACCCCCGGAACACCACCCUCGUGACCUCAGUGUCCCCCCUGGCUGCCAGGCUUGGACCUUCCCAGACCUGAUAAACAAGGUGUCUGACGUCGGGCUCUGAACUCCACCUCCUGGCCCCUGGCUGCAGACGCAGGUGGAGGACCCCUCUGCUGCUGUCCCCAGGAUGAGCUGCAGCACCAAGUUGCCCCCAAGCGUGCUGUGGACAGAUCCCCGGUGCCCAGUGCUGCUUGGGCCUCUCAACCAGCCCAUCUCGGGAGGCUUUGGGCAGUCCCUUAUGUAUAAUUCGAUGGUUUUCAUCACACUCACAGAGUUGUGCAACCAUGGAAUAAACUAAUGCUCAGCCGUGGCUGCCAGGAAACAGACCUCUCCUGCAGCUUAGGGGCGACGCCUUCUGCAGAGUCUA